ACUAGCGAAUCAUGACAAGCUAAUCAUUUGCCUUAAUCACAAUGCGACUAUCAAAAUUUCGAUUAGUUUUAGUACUUUUGACCGUAGUACUACAUGUUUAACGUGUCUUAUUUGUGCCUCAUAAGGUUAUUACUAUAAGAGCAUAUACCCACAUCGUCGCCCACACUAACUGAAUGUCGAUUCUUGCGCCUGAAAGGUAAAAAUAAAAUGCUUUAAUCAAUAUUUUUUAACUUUCCAUGACCAUGAAAUGCAGUAACGUACAAAAAAGCAGCGCCACGAGAAAGAAUUGCGUUGGAGACCACCUAUAAGAAAGUUUGGUGAAGUUAUCCAAUUGGGUGGAGGAUGCUAAGACAACUAUAUUGGGUGGCUCUAGUAUAUGCGUGAUGUGGCAGCGAGAAGUCCGAGCUACAAUUAAGCAGUACAUGCUCUCCGGGUCUCACUAAUUUGGGAGCUCCAAUUAUGACAGGAUCCCUCUCUGGCAUCGCUACGAAAUACAUAUUUGUGCAUACAAAUAUUUAAAAACACAAGAGAAGCUGGCAAAAGAUCGAGACUUCAAAAACGUCAUGGAUUACGACAUACGGAGUCAUACUUUGCGCUCAUGAGUCUCGACUCUGAAUCUUGUCACAACCUUAUCCUUGUCUCUGAAACAGCUAUGGCGCGUGUGACGUUCGUCUCGACAGUACACAAAGUAUCCUUGUUCAUCCCUUUAAGCGAAAACAUGCGCACUAGAACUAUGGUCAUUUACUUUAAUAUCUCUGAUCUCAUUCUAAAAAAUUUAUAGCUCUAUUAUAAUUUCGAGCCCAUUUUAACAAUGCAAAGAAAACAUUUUACACAUCAAAACAUA
Pieris brassicae (large cabbage white) is the source of this 844-nucleotide long non-coding RNA. RefSeq lists it as uncharacterized. NCBI's taxonomy places the organism in Eukaryota, Metazoa, Arthropoda, Insecta, Lepidoptera, Pieridae. The record is from RefSeq and is a predicted model, not a curated record. The transcript is spliced from 4 exons.